Molecule: ribosomal RNA, 505 nt
Filed under: uncultured bacterium
Lineage: Bacteria
Description: partial 16S ribosomal RNA
Rfam family: Bacterial small subunit ribosomal RNA
Source: RNAcentral
GACGAACGCUGGCGGCGUGCCUAAUACAUGCAAGUAGAACGCACAGUUUAUACCGUAGCUUGCUACACCAUAGACUGUGAGUUGCGAACGGGUGAGUAACGCGUAGGUAACCUGCCUGGUAUCGCGGGAUAACUAUUGGAAACGAUAGCUAAUACCGCAUAAUAUUGAUUAUUGCAUGAUAAUUGAUGGAAAGAUGCUAUUGCAUCACUACCAGAUGGACCUGCUUUGUAUUAGCUAGUAGGUGAGGUAACGGCUCACCUAGGCGAAGAUACAUAGCCGACCUGAGAGGGUGAUCGGCCAAACUGGGAAUGAGAACAGGCCCAGACCCCUAAGGGAGGGAGCAGUAGGGAAUCUUCGGCAAUGGACGAAAGUCUGACCGAGCAAAGGCGGGUGAGUGAAGAAGGUUUUCGGAUCGUAAAGAUCUGUUGUAAGAGAAGAACGGGUGUGAGAGUGGAAAGUUCACACUGUGACGGUAUCUUACCAGAAAGGGACGGCUAACUACGUG